Molecule: ribosomal RNA, 468 nt
Filed under: uncultured bacterium
Lineage: Bacteria
Description: partial 16S ribosomal RNA
Rfam family: Bacterial small subunit ribosomal RNA
Source: RNAcentral
GACGAACGCUGGCGGCGUGCUUAACACAUGCAAGUCGAACGGAAAGGCCCUGCUUUUGUGGGGUGCUCGAGUGGCGAACGGGUGAGUAACACGUGAGUAACCUGCCCUUGACUUUGGGAUAACUUCAGGAAACUGGGGCUAAUACCGGAUAGGAGCUCCUGCUGCAUGGUGGGGGUUGGAAAGUUUCGGCGGUGGGGGAUGGACUCGCGGCUUAUCAGCUUGUUGGUGGGGUAGUGGCCUACCAAGGCUUUGACGGGUAGCCGGCCUGAGGGGGUGACCGGCCACAUUGGGACUGAGAUACGGCCCAGACUCCUACGGGAGGCAGCAGUGGGGAAUAGUGCACAAUGGGCGGAAGCCUGAUGCAGCAACGCCGCGUGCGGGAUGACGGCCUUCGGGUUGUAAACCGCUUUCGCCUGUGACGAAGCGUGAGUGACGGUAAUGGGUAAAGAAGCACCGGCUAACUACGUG